UACAUGUCAAAUUCAGUGCUGUCCUACUAUGGCAAGCACUGGCCCAGAGGCUGCCAUAGAAACUGUCAUUCUUGGGCUCCAUUCCCCAUGCUUGGGGUCAGGGAUGAAUUGGCCAUAGACAGCA
This is a small nucleolar RNA of Cricetulus griseus (Chinese hamster), 124 nucleotides long. Lineage: Eukaryota; Metazoa; Chordata; Mammalia; Rodentia; Cricetidae. The record is from Ensembl.